UAGAGGUGGAGGAUGUAAGAUUGAUGUGGCAGGAGAAGACAACAACUAUGUUGAUGAAGUGCCUGCCAUCCAUGAUGUGAAGUCCCUUCACAUGACUGGCUGAUGUUUUGCCUCACCUAGCAGAACUGUCUGUUGCUGUGCCGAGAUGAGGUGUACACAACUGUAAAGCCUCUGUAGAAGGGGGUACACCCGGGCAAGGCCUACCAAGUGUCUGAAGACAGCGUGACCUCCUUGAACCAUCAAGGCUUUACUUCAGAGAUAGAUAUUGACUAUUUCUGGAACAAGAUCUACAUCCCCUUCCCGAACAUUGUGGUGAACCUAGAGGAUCGAUUCCCAGACCUGCCACUCCUCCAGAAGUUUGAGGUCUUUAACACCCGGAAAUUCUUUGGGGAGGAGCCAACCUGCUGUGGGGAAGAUGACAUUAAGACCCGGUAGGAGAGUAUGUCAGAGAUGGUAUGCUGAAAGCUAAGCAGGCCAAAGUUGAUUGAAAGGAUUCUGCCCUGACCUUUGGGAACUGUACAAGACGGGUUUGUGGAGCAGGGAUAGUGAUGAUGACAGAG
Long non-coding RNA from Mya arenaria, 560 nucleotides. RefSeq lists it as uncharacterized. Lineage: Eukaryota; Metazoa; Mollusca; Bivalvia; Myida; Myidae. The transcript is spliced from 4 exons. The record is from RefSeq and is a predicted model, not a curated record.